RNAcentral lists this unclassified non-coding RNA (654 nucleotides) under Hevea brasiliensis (rubber tree). The record is from RNAcentral. Lineage: Eukaryota; Viridiplantae; Streptophyta; Magnoliopsida; Malpighiales; Euphorbiaceae.
UCAUUCGCAGUUCUCCUUUUAACCUGUAAAUGGAUCACAAUAAAACCAGAUGAUAAUGUAGGCAAAAAAGAACACCAUAUGAAAGUGAAGGCACUUGGAAUGUUCUCCACUGGUUACUUCAAACAAAUAAAAUUUAAUGACUAUGUGAUGUAGAACCAUAAAGAAGAAAUGAAUUAUCAAAUUCUAUUAAUUCUAAAUUGUCAAUAUAAACGAUACUAAGCUCUCUAAUAAAAUACCUAGAUGACGUAUUUAUAGUAUAAUAUUAAUCCUACUACUACUAGGAUUAAGAAUUUUAAAAUAAGAAAAUAUUAAUCCAAUCUAACAAGGAAUAUAUAACCAACACUAAUUAGGAAAUUCUAAACAAUAAAAUUCCCAAAUAACUAAAAUACUACUUCCUAAUUAAAUUUCCUAAAUAAUAGAAAUCUAAACUUCCUAAUUAUAUUAGAAAAUCUGAAUUAAAGCUCUUAAAUUCACAAUUAAAAAUUAAAUUAAAAUAAUUCCUAAAUCUGGUCUUCCUUGACUAUAUCAUUCUCCUUCAAAUGAAGACAACUUGAUCUUGAGUUUUACGUACUAAAGAACCAUGUUUCCAAAAAAAAAAGUACUAAAGAAUCAAGAACUGAAUUUGUAGAACAACUCUAUCUUCUUGGAUGGUAG